This 255-nucleotide ribosomal RNA is filed under the name uncultured bacterium. Its description in RNAcentral is "partial 16S ribosomal RNA". The record is from RNAcentral.
CUGCUGCCUCCCGUAGGAGUUUGGGCCGUGUCUCAGUCCCAAUGUGGCCGAUCACCCUCUCAGGUCGGCUACUGAUCGUCGCCUUGGUAGGCCUUUACCCCACCAACUAGCUAAUCAGACGCGGGUCCAUCUCAUACCACCGGAGUUUUUCACACCGAAUCAUGCGAUUCUGUGCGCUUAUGCGGUAUUAGCAGUCAUUUCUAACUGUUAUCCCCCUGUAUGAGGCAGGUUACCCACGCGUUACUCACCCGUCCG